RNAcentral lists this unclassified non-coding RNA (364 nucleotides) under uncultured bacterium. RNAcentral describes it as "contains 16S-23S intergenic spacer region". The record is from RNAcentral.
UCCCGGUUGGCCCGGGCAGUCUCGCAUGAAAAAUACAACAUACGAUAAGGGUUGCGCUCGUUGCGGGACUUAACCCAACAUCUCACGACACGAGCUGACGACGGCCAUGCAGCACCUGUCACUAGGCUCCCGAAGGCACUCCCGCAUUUCUGCAGGAUUCCUAGGAUGUCAAGCCUGGGUAAGGUUCUUCGCGUAGCUUCAAAUUAAACCACAUCAUCCACCGCUUGUGCGGGUCCCCGUCAAUUCCUUUGAGUUUUAGCCUUGCGGCCGUACUUCCCAGGCGGCAUACUUAACGCGUUAGCUUCGACGCACAGGGGGUCGAUACCCCAUACGUCUAGUAUGCAUCGUUUACGGCGUGGACUAC